This is a non-coding RNA of Triticum aestivum (bread wheat), 125 nucleotides long. The record is from Rfam. Lineage: Eukaryota; Viridiplantae; Streptophyta; Magnoliopsida; Poales; Poaceae.
UAUGUACUCCCUUCAUCCGGAAAUACUUGUCAUUGAAAUGGAUGUAUCUAGAUGUAUUUCAGUUCAAGAUACAUCUAUUUUCAUCCAUUUUGAUGACAAGUAAUUCCAGACAGAGGGAGUAGUUU